This is a long non-coding RNA of Acyrthosiphon pisum (pea aphid), 334 nucleotides long. RefSeq lists it as uncharacterized. The record is from RefSeq and is a predicted model, not a curated record. NCBI's taxonomy places the organism in Eukaryota, Metazoa, Arthropoda, Insecta, Hemiptera, Aphididae. The transcript has 3 exons.
UUUACUUUUGGUAGUUGAUACUGAUUAAAAUUUAAAAUACUUGCCAUAUCAAUUCAUAAUUAUGUAUUAUAAUUUAUUUCAGGAUAAGUUGUAUACAUUUAAGAAGAAAAACGAGCACCGAAACAAAUCCAACAAUGAACAACGAACACAAAAUUGUAUGGUUUGAUGGUGUUUGUCCGUUAGCUGGUGACUCUAUUUACACGGAUAGAACUUUUAUUGGAAAGCAUAUUAUGCCAAAACUCGAAAUUCGUUUAAGUUAUAGAUUGAUAGACGUGUCUACUCUAAAAUAGUUGUUUAAGAUAAGUUGUAUACAUUUAAGAAGAAAAACGAGCAC